CCGUGUCACCCCCAAGGAGGCUCAGAAUGAGCGCCGGGACAACGCCUCCUGGGCCCUUUGUUCCCAAGCGGCCCCCGCCCAGUGGGCGACGCUCUGUGUGUCCUCGCCGGCCCUGUUUUUGUUUGAACGUUUUGUAACGAUUAAGCAGAUCCCGGCGUCAGCCCGCCGCGGAGAGGCUCAAACAGGCAUAAAGUGCGACCCCAAGUGGCCACUGUGCGCAAAGGCGCCG
This 229-nucleotide long non-coding RNA is filed under the name Homo sapiens (human). RNAcentral describes it as "HSALNT0267293". Lineage: Eukaryota; Metazoa; Chordata; Mammalia; Primates; Hominidae. The record is from RNAcentral.